This 71-nucleotide transfer RNA is filed under the name Lapidia apicifolia. RNAcentral's name for it is "tRNA-Glu". The record is from RNAcentral. Lineage: Eukaryota; Viridiplantae; Streptophyta; Magnoliopsida; Asterales; Asteraceae.
CCUAAAGGUGGCCCGGACCUAUUAUUUCUAGUUCAUUUAUGAAUCAAGGUGGCCAUAGGCCCCUAUGGUCC